CCGAAACCCGGUGAUCUAGCCAUGGGCAGGUUGAAGGUUGGGUAACACUAACUGGAGGACCGAACCGACUAAUGUUGAAAAAUUAGCGGAUGACCUGUGGCUGGGGGUGAAAGGCCAAUCAAACCGGGAGAUAGCUGGUUCUCCCCGAAAGCUAUUUAGGUAGCGCCUCGUGAAUUCAUCUCCGGGGGUAGAGCACUGUUUCGGCUAGGGGGCCAUCCCGGCUUACCAACCCGAUGCAAACUGCGAAUACCGGAGAAUGUUAUCACGGGAGACACACGGCGGGUGCUAACGUCCGUCGUGAAGAGGGAAACAACCCAGACCGCCAGCUAAGGUCCCAAAGUCAUGGUUAAGUGGGAAACGAUGUGGGAAGGCCCAGACAGCCAGGAUGUUGGCUUAGAAGCAGCCAUCAUUUAAAGAAAGCGUAAUAGCUCACUGGUCGAGUCGGCCUGCGCGGAAGAUGUAACGGGGCUAAACCAUGCACCGAAGCUGCGGCAGCGAACGUAUCACCCAAGACAACUUUACGGAGUUGACGAUUGACGGAGCGAAGCGACGUCAAAGCGUUCAUUAAAGUCGAGUUGGCUUAGGGAUACGUUCGUUGGGUAGGGGAGCGUUCUGUAAGCCUGUGAAGGUGUGUCGUGAGGC
Molecule: ribosomal RNA, 642 nt
Filed under: Salmonella enterica subsp. enterica
Lineage: Bacteria; Pseudomonadati; Pseudomonadota; Gammaproteobacteria; Enterobacterales; Enterobacteriaceae
Description: partial 23S ribosomal RNA
Rfam family: Bacterial large subunit ribosomal RNA
Source: RNAcentral